CUGUCUUUGGUUUCAGUUACCUGCCAUCAGUCACAGAUCAAGCAGCUGCUCCUCCUUCUGGCACAGCGUCAUUAGGUCAGUAACAGCCUGAGGAACGUUCGUCACAACUCCAGAGUCAUUCUCCUCACUUCUGGUCACCAGAGAUCUUACUGUCUCAUGGUAUCACAGGAGGAGAGUAACUCAGAACUUGUGACUGGAUGCAAUGGGUAUGGAUUUGGAUGUCGUCUGCACAAGAGAGACCGCUGAAGCCAGAAGACUGACAUGAGAGAACACUUUUCUCAGGUAGGAAGCAUCAGGCAUACUCACAAGGGAACAAGAGUUACAGCAAAUUAAAUGUCUAACCACCUGGGUGGGGGGAGGCUUCUAUUAUUAUUGAGGGAAAAGGAAUUUUUUGAGGGAGAUUUCAA
RNAcentral lists this long non-coding RNA (407 nucleotides) under Mustela putorius furo (domestic ferret). Its description in RNAcentral is "lncRNA (ENSMPUG00000023980.1)". Lineage: Eukaryota; Metazoa; Chordata; Mammalia; Carnivora; Mustelidae. The record is from RNAcentral.